RNAcentral lists this ribosomal RNA (274 nucleotides) under uncultured bacterium. Its description in RNAcentral is "partial 16S ribosomal RNA". It matches the Rfam family "Bacterial small subunit ribosomal RNA", at positions 523 to 796 of the family's 1533-position model. The record is from RNAcentral.
AUACGGAGGGUGCGAGCGUUAAUCGGAAUUACUGGGCGUAAAGCGUACGUAGGCGGUUGGUUAAGUUAGAUGUGAAAGCCCCGGGCUUAACCUGGGAACUGCAUUUAAAACUGGCGAACUAGAGUUGAGUAGAGGGGAGUGGAAUUUCAGGUGUAGCGGUGAAAUGCGUAGAGAUCUGAAGGAACACCAGUGGCGAAGGCGACUCCCUGGACUCGAACUGACGCUGAGGUACGAAAGCGUGGGUAGCAAACGGGAUUAGAAACCCGUGUAGUCC